RNAcentral lists this non-coding RNA (111 nucleotides) under Niallia circulans. RNAcentral describes it as "Bacillus circulans SAM-I sequence". It matches the Rfam family "SAM riboswitch aptamer (S box leader)". Rfam says of the family: The SAM riboswitch is found upstream of a number of genes which code for proteins involved in methionine or cysteine biosynthesis in Gram-positive bacteria. Lineage: Bacteria; Bacillati; Bacillota; Bacilli; Caryophanales; Bacillaceae. The record is from Rfam by way of RNAcentral.
UUCUUAUCAAGAGAGGUAGAGGGAAUGGCCCGACGAAACCUCAGCAACCUUCAGUAUCCUAUAUACUGAAAAGGUGCUAAUUCCAUCAAGCAAAUGCUUGAAAGAUAAGAA